CCUUCGGGUUGUAAAGCACUUUAGGCGGGGAAGAAGAUUACUAUUUUAAAGAGAUUAGGUAAUUUGACGGUAUCCGCAGAGUAAGCACCGGCUAACUCUGUGC
Molecule: ribosomal RNA, 103 nt
Filed under: uncultured bacterium
Lineage: Bacteria
Description: partial 16S ribosomal RNA
Source: RNAcentral